GGAUUAGAUACCCUGGUAGUCCACGCCGUAAACGAUGGAUACUAGCUGUUUGGGGUAUCGACCCCCUGAGUAGCGAAGCUAACGCGUUAAGUAUCCCGCCUGUGGAGUACGAUCGCAAGAUUAAAACAUAAAGGAAUUGACGGGGACCCGCACAAGCGGUGGAUCAUGUUCUUUAAUUCGAUGAUAACCGAUAAACCUUACCAGGUCUUGACAUCCUUGGAAUCUUUCAGAAAUGAGAGAGUGCUUUUUAAGAGCCAAGUGACAGGUGAUGCAUGGCCGUCGUCAGCUCGUGCCG
Molecule: ribosomal RNA, 295 nt
Filed under: uncultured bacterium
Lineage: Bacteria
Description: partial 16S ribosomal RNA
Rfam family: Bacterial small subunit ribosomal RNA
Source: RNAcentral